UCUUGCUCUUCCACUUUUCCGCAGGGCCCCUGACCAUUCCUGUUUUGUGAGAUGGAAUCUGGAGCCCCAUCCCUCCCUCCUUCCUUCCUCUCCUGUCCACUCCUGCCGUGGAUCUGGGGAUCUGGAGAGGCAGGGCCAGGGUCCGUAGGCUGAACUAGGUGAGCGGCUAAAGUCCAGAGCAAAGGCAUGGAGAAUUGGGAGCUGGUUUUGACCCAGUCAGUCCCAUCGCCUGUCUGAACCUGAUACUGAAACCAGAAGUUCCAGGUCGAAGCUCUGGCUUGCCUAUAUCUCCCCACUGGAUAAGACCCUUUUCCAGCGUGAGCCUCAGUUUCCCUACCUAUAAGGCGCUUGUGGAGCUGAAGGAAGUGCUGCCAUGCGCUGUGCAGGUGUGUCACAUUAUCACCCAGGCCCACUUCAAGGCAAACAGAUGAAAACGACAACAUUGUCUUCAGAGCCACCUGGGCUGUGGGCUGCGGGCAAGCAGGAGGGAAGUUUCUCUCUAGGCACCAGCCCAAGAACAAAAGACUGCUUUGGACUUGAACUGUUCCUUAGUAAGAAAACAGUAACUGGAAGCUGGUUAAAAUCAUCAGGAGGGCUUUGUGGGAUGCUUCGGAGAUUUUCUUCUUCCUGGUUAUUUAGGAUUAACAGUCAGCGUAGAAUCUGUGCCUGCAUCCAGACACAGGGACGGGAGGUUUGGAGGAGGGGAGGAGGAGAAGCCAUGGCGAAGGUUCAUAGCUUAGGAGACCCGAAGCCAAGGGAAUAGGCCAGAAGCAGAUCCUGAGAAUGCCAUGUGCUCACUGCCCUGCAGGGCUCUUAUUGCCCUCAGAGAAAAAGCCACAGUCCUGGCCAACCCCGCCCCCCAGGACUCUAUACAGCCCUGUCCCAGUUACAGCCCUGACCUCCUGCCCUUGCUCUGUUGCUCUGACCACACUGACCCCCUCGCAGUUCCUCUGACGUGCCAGGCAUCCUCCCGCCCCAGGGCCUUUGCAUGCGCUGUUCCCUCUGCCUGGAAUUCUUUUCCCCACAAUAUAAAUAUGUCUCACUUUCUCAUGUCCUUCACCAUGUUAUCUCCUUCGAGAAGUCUUUCCUGACCACCCUCUGAAAGAAAGGAACUCUAGGCCGGGCAUGGUGGCUCACGCCUGUAAUCCCAGCACUUUGGGAGGCUGAGGUGGGCAGAUCAUGAGGUCAGG
RNAcentral lists this long non-coding RNA (1190 nucleotides) under Homo sapiens (human). RNAcentral's name for it is "HSALNT0269450". The record is from RNAcentral. Lineage: Eukaryota; Metazoa; Chordata; Mammalia; Primates; Hominidae.